Molecule: non-coding RNA, 72 nt
Organism: Salmo salar (Atlantic salmon)
Lineage: Eukaryota; Metazoa; Chordata; Actinopteri; Salmoniformes; Salmonidae
Source: Rfam
UCCCCUGUGGCUCAGUUUGUAGAGCAUGGUGUUUGCAACGCCAGGCUUGUGGGUUUGAUUCCCACGGGGGAC